This 2921-nucleotide ribosomal RNA is filed under the name Staphylococcus argenteus. RNAcentral's name for it is "bacterial LSU rRNA". It matches the Rfam family "Bacterial large subunit ribosomal RNA". The record is from RNAcentral. Lineage: Bacteria; Bacillati; Bacillota; Bacilli; Caryophanales; Staphylococcaceae.
UUAAGUUAUUAAGGGCGCACGGUGGAUGCCUUGGCACUAGAAGCCGAUGAAGGACGUUACUAACGACGAUAUGCUUUGGGGAGCUGUAAGUAAGCUUUGAUCCAGAGAUUUCCGAAUGGGGAAACCCAACAUGAGUUAUGUCAUGUUAUCGAUAUGUGAAUACAUAGCAUAUCAGAAGGCACACCCGGAGAACUGAAACAUCUUAGUACCCGGAGGAAGAGAAAGAAAAUUCGAUUCCCUUAGUAGCGGCGAGCGAAACGGGAAGAGCCCAAACCAACAAGCUUGCUUGUUGGGGUUGUAGGACACUCUAUACGGAGUUACAAAGGACGACAUUAGACGAAUCAUCUGGAAAGAUGAAUCAAAGAAGGUAAUAAUCCUGUAGUCGAAAAUGUUGUCUCUCUUGAGUGGAUCCUGAGUACGACGGAGCACGUGAAAUUCCGUCGGAAUCUGGGAGGACCAUCUCCUAAGGCUAAAUACUCUCUAGUGACCGAUAGUGAACCAGUACCGUGAGGGAAAGGUGAAAAGCACCCCGGAAGGGGAGUGAAAUAGAACCUGAAACCGUGUGCUUACAAGUAGUCAGAGCCCGUUAAUGGGUGAUGGCGUGCCUUUUGUAGAAUGAACCGGCGAGUUACGAUUUGAUGCAAGGUUAAGCAGUAAAUGUGGAGCCGUAGCGAAAGCGAGUCUGAAUAGGGCGUUUAGUAUUUGGUCGUAGACCCGAAACCAGGUGAUCUACCCUUGGUCAGGUUGAAGUUCAGGUAACACUGAAUGGAGGACCGAACCGACUUACGUUGAAAAGUGAGCGGAUGAACUGAGGGUAGCGGAGAAAUUCCAAUCGAACCUGGAGAUAGCUGGUUCUCUCCGAAAUAGCUUUAGGGCUAGCCUCAAGUGAUGAUUAUUGGAGGUAGAGCACUGUUUGGACGAGGGGCCCCUCUCGGGUUACCGAAUUCAGACAAACUCCGAAUGCCAAUUAAUUUAACUUGGGAGUCAGAACAUGGGUGAUAAGGUCCGUGUUCGAAAGGGAAACAGCCCAGACCACCAGCUAAGGUCCCAAAAUAUAUGUUAAGUGGAAAAGGAUGUGGCGUUGCCCAGACAACUAGGAUGUUGGCUUAGAAGCAGCCAUCAUUUAAAGAGUGCGUAAUAGCUCACUAGUCGAGUGACACUGCGCCGAAAAUGUACCGGGGCUAAACAUAUUACCGAAGCUGUGGAUUGUCCUUUGGACAAUGGUAGGAGAGCGUUCUAAGGGCGUUGAAGCAUGAUCGUAAGGACAUGUGGAGCGCUUAGAAGUGAGAAUGCCGGUGUGAGUAGCGAAAGACGGGUGAGAAUCCCGUCUACCGAUUGACUAAGGUUUCCAGAGGAAGGCUCGUCCGCUCUGGGUUAGUCGGGUCCUAAGCUGAGGCCGACAGGCGUAGGCGAUGGAUAACAGGUUGAUAUUCCUGUACCACCUAUAAUCGUUUUAAUCGAUGGGGGGACGCAGUAGGAUAGGCGAAGCGUGCGAUUGGAUUGCACGUCUAAGCAGUAAGGCUGAGUAUUAGGCAAAUCCGGUACUCAUUAAGGCUGAGCUGUGAUGGGGAGAAGACAUUGUGUCUUCGAGUCGUUGAUUUCACACUGCCGAGAAAAGCCUCUAGAUAGAAAAUAGGUGCCCGUACCGCAAACCGACACAGGUAGUCAAGAUGAGAAUUCUAAGGUGAGCGAGCGAACUCUCGUUAAGGAACUCGGCAAAAUGACCCCGUAACUUCGGGAGAAGGGGUGCUCUUUAGGGUUAACGCCCAGAAGAGCCGCAGUGAAUAGGCCCAAGCGACUGUUUAUCAAAAACACAGGUCUCUGCUAAACCGUAAGGUGAUGUAUAGGGGCUGACGCCUGCCCGGUGCUGGAAGGUUAAGAGGAGUGGUUAGCUUCUGCGAAGCUACGAAUCGAAGCCCCAGUAAACGGCGGCCGUAACUAUAACGGUCCUAAGGUAGCGAAAUUCCUUGUCGGGUAAGUUCCGACCCGCACGAAAGGCGUAACGAUUUGGGCACUGUCUCAACGAGAGACUCGGUGAAAUCAUAGUACCUGUGAAGAUGCAGGUUACCCGCGACAGGACGGAAAGACCCCGUGGAGCUUUACUGUAGCCUGAUAUUGAAAUUCGGCACAGCUUGUACAGGAUAGGUAGGAGCCUUUGAAACGUGAGCGCUAGCUUACGUGGAGGCGCUGGUGGGAUACUACCCUAGCUGUGUUGGCUUUCUAACCCGCACCACUUAUCGUGGUGGGAGACAGUGUCAGGCGGGCAGUUUGACUGGGGCGGUCGCCUCCUAAAAGGUAACGGAGGCGCUCAAAGGUUCCCUCAGAAUGGUUGGAAAUCAUUCAUAGAGUGUAAAGGCAUAAGGGAGCUUGACUGCGAGACCUACAAGUCGAGCAGGGUCGAAAGACGGACUUAGUGAUCCGGUGGUUCCGCAUGGAAGGGCCAUCGCUCAACGGAUAAAAGCUACCCCGGGGAUAACAGGCUUAUCUCCCCCAAGAGUUCACAUCGACGGGGAGGUUUGGCACCUCGAUGUCGGCUCAUCGCAUCCUGGGGCUGUAGUCGGUCCCAAGGGUUGGGCUGUUCGCCCAUUAAAGCGGUACGCGAGCUGGGUUCAGAACGUCGUGAGACAGUUCGGUCCCUAUCCGUCGUGGGCGUAGGAAAUUUGAGAGGAGCUGUCCUUAGUACGAGAGGACCGGGAUGGACAUACCUCUGGUGUACCAGUUGUCGUGCCAACGGCAUAGCUGGGUAGCUAUGUGUGGACGGGAUAAGUGCUGAAAGCAUCUAAGCAUGAAGCCCCCCUCAAGAUGAGAUUUCCCAACUUCGGUUAUAAGAUCCCUCAAAGAUGAUGAGGUUAAUAGGUUCGAGGUGGAAGCAUGGUGACAUGUGGAGCUGACGAAUACUAAUCGAUCGAAGACUUAAUCAA